Molecule: ribosomal RNA, 1220 nt
Filed under: Listeria monocytogenes
Lineage: Bacteria; Bacillati; Bacillota; Bacilli; Caryophanales; Listeriaceae
Description: partial 23S ribosomal RNA
Rfam family: Bacterial large subunit ribosomal RNA
Source: RNAcentral
UUGGUUAAGUUAGAAAGGGCGCACGGUGGAUGCCUUGGCACUAGGAGCCGAAGAAGGACGGGACUAACACCGAUAUGCUUUGGGGAGCUGUACGUAAGCGUUGAUCCAGAGAUUUCCGAAUGGGGGAACCCACUAUCUUUAGUCGGAUAGUAUCCUUACGUGAAUACAUAGCGUAAGGAAGGCAGACCCAGGGAACUGAAACAUCUAAGUACCUGGAGGAAGAGAAAGAAAAAUCGAUUUCCUGAGUAGCGGCGAGCGAAACGGAAAGAGCCCAAACCAAGAAGCUUGCUUCUUGGGGUUGUAGGACACUCUAUACGGAGUUACAAAAGAAAGUUAUAAAUGAAGCGGUCUGGAAAGGCCCGCCAAAGACGGUAACAGCCCGGUAGUUGAAAUGGCUUUCCCUCCAGAGUGGAUCCUGAGUACGGCGGAACACGUGAAAUUCCGUCGGAAUCCGGGAGGACCAUCUCCCAAGGCUAAAUACUCCCUAGUGACCGAUAGUGAACCAGUACCGUGAGGGAAAGGUGAAAAGCACCCCGGAAGGGGAGUGAAACAGUUCCUGAAACCGUGUGCCUACAAGUAGUUAGAGCCCGUUAAUGGGUGAUAGCGUGCCUUUUGUAGAAUGAACCGGCGAGUUACGAUUUGUUGCAAGGUUAAGCGGAAAAAGCGGAGCCGUAGCGAAAGCGAGUCUGAAUAGGGCGCAUAAGUAACAGGUCGUAGACCCGAAACCAGGUGAUCUACCCAUGUCCAGGAUGAAGGUAAGGUAAUACUUACUGGAGGUCCGAACCCACGCACGUUGAAAAGUGCGGGGAUGAGGUGUGGGUAGCGGAGAAAUUCCAAUCGAACUUGGAGAUAGCUGGUUCUCUCCGAAAUAGCUUUAGGGCUAGCCUCGAGGUAAAGAGUCAUGGAGGUAGAGCACUGUUUGGACUAGGGGCCCUUCUCGGGUUACCGAAUUCAGAUAAACUCCGAAUGCCAUGUACUUAUACUCGGGAGUCAGACUGCGAGUGAUAAGAUCCGUAGUCGAAAGGGAAACAGCCCAGACCACCAGUUAAGGUCCCCAAAUAUAUGUUAAGUGGAAAAGGAUGUGGGGUUGCUUAGACAACCAGGAUGUUGGCUUAGAAGCAGCCACCAUUGAAAGAGUGCGUAAUAGCUCACUGGUCGAGUGACCCCGCGCCGAAAAUGUACCGGGGCUAAACAUAUUACCGAAACUGUGGAUGAACCUC